Molecule: long non-coding RNA, 476 nt
Organism: Oryzias latipes (Japanese medaka)
Lineage: Eukaryota; Metazoa; Chordata; Actinopteri; Beloniformes; Adrianichthyidae
Source: RefSeq, a predicted model, not a curated record
GCUCAGUGGAGCACAGUGAGGUCCAGGGCGAGCGGAGGGAAGUCAUCAUGUCCUCGAUCAUAACUGCGACCGUCCUGCUCCUGGUCCUGAUGCAGUGCUGUUGCUGCGGUGCGCGUCAGAAACAUCCUUCUUUUGCUGUUGGAUUCACCAAAGAGGAAAUAGAAAAAUGCAAAAGUAUUUCCCGUGGCACACUUCAGUGCCCCCUAUUUGUCAGAUCCAUCACUGGAAAAAAAAACAUAAAAAAGGCGAUGAAAGAUUGUCUUUGCAGUACAAUUAAGAUCAAGGGGCGUCCAAAAGUAGAGAAAUUCUGUCCCCAGAGACCUCCUCCAGCUCAAGUUCCUCUGUAAGUCACAGAAGAAGUGGACCUGCUGCAAAGUCCUACAACCUGAACAAGAGUUUUACAAUUCAACGAUCAUAGUCAUUUAAUGACAAAAAGACAUGUUAAAUAAAGGCUCUGAAUGUUCCUUAACCUCUCA